Molecule: ribosomal RNA, 440 nt
Filed under: uncultured bacterium
Lineage: Bacteria
Description: partial 16S ribosomal RNA
Rfam family: Bacterial small subunit ribosomal RNA
Source: RNAcentral
CUACGGGGGGCAGCAGUAGGGAAUAUUGGUAAUGGGCGAAAGCCUGAACCAGCAACGCCGCGUGUGCGAUGAAGGCCUUCGGGUUGUAAAGCACUUUUUGAGGGGAUGAGGAAGGACAGUACCCUCAGAAUAAGCCUCGGCUAACUACGUGCCAGCAGCGCGCGGUAAAACGUAGGAGGCGAGCGUUAUUCGGAUUUACUGGGCGUAAAGCGCGUGCAGGCGGUUCGGUAAGUUGGAUGUGAAAGCUCCUGGCUCAACUGGGAGAGGUCGUUCAAUACUGCCGGGCUAGAGGAUGAGAGAGGGAGGUGGAAUUCCGGGUGUAGUGGUGGAAUGCGUAGAUAUCCGGAGGAACACCAGUGGCGAAGGCGGCCUCCUGGCUCAUUUCUGACGCUAAGACGCGAAAGCUAGGGUAGCAAACGGGAUUAGAUACCCUCGUAGUC